Oncorhynchus tshawytscha (Chinook salmon) is the source of this 382-nucleotide long non-coding RNA. NCBI's taxonomy places the organism in Eukaryota, Metazoa, Chordata, Actinopteri, Salmoniformes, Salmonidae. The record is from Ensembl.
AGGGUGGUGGUUAAGGGUUAGGGUGGUGGUUAAGGGUUAGGGUGGUGGUUAAGGGUUAGGGUGGUGGUUAAGGGUUAGGGCGGUGGUUAAGGGUUAGGGUGGUGGUUAAGGGUUAGGGUGGUGGUUAGGGUUAGGGUGGUGGUUAAGGGUUAGGGUUGUGGUUAAGGGUUAGGGUGGUGGUUAAGGGUUAGGGUGGUGGUUUAGGGUUAGGUGGUGGUUAAGGGUUAGGGCGGUGGUUAAGGGUUAGGGUGGUGGUUAAGGGUUAGGGUGGUGGUUAAGGGUUAGGGUGGUGGUUAAGGGUUAGGGUAGUGGUUAAGGGUUAGGGUGGUGGUUAAGGGUUAGGGUGGUGGGUUAGGGUUAGGGUGGUGAUUAAGGGUUAGGG